This 484-nucleotide ribosomal RNA is filed under the name uncultured bacterium. Its description in RNAcentral is "partial 16S ribosomal RNA". It matches the Rfam family "Bacterial small subunit ribosomal RNA", at positions 30 to 507 of the family's 1533-position model. The record is from RNAcentral.
AUUGAACGCUGGCGGCAGGCCUAACACAUGCAAGUCGAGCGGAGAAAGGGAGCUUGCUCCUGGAAUCAGCGGCGGACGGGUGAGUAACGCCUAGGAAUCUGCCCGUUAGUGCUGGAUUAAGUCCGGAAACGUGCGCUAAUACCCCAUUAGUCCUGAGGGCGAAAGUGUGGGAUCUUCGGACCUCACUCUAUCAGAUGAGCAUAGGCCGGAUUAGCUAGUUGGGGGGGUGAAGGCCUACCAAAGCGACGAUACGUAACUGCUCGGAGAGGAUGAUCAGUCACACUAGAGCUGGGACAGCGUCCCGCCUACUAAGGGAUGCACCAGUGUGGAAUAUGGGACAAUGGGCGGAAGCAUGAUCCAGACAUGGCGAGUGUGAUAAGAAGGUCUUCGGAUUGUAAAGCCCUUUAAGUUGGGGGGAAGGGCAGUAAGUUAAUACCUUGCUGUUUUGACGUUACCUACAGAAUAAGCACCGGCUAACUACGUG